This 500-nucleotide ribosomal RNA is filed under the name uncultured bacterium. Its description in RNAcentral is "partial 16S ribosomal RNA". It matches the Rfam family "Bacterial small subunit ribosomal RNA", at positions 30 to 523 of the family's 1533-position model. The record is from RNAcentral.
AUUGAACGCUGGCGGCAUGCCUUACACAUGCAAGUCGAACGGCAGCACGGGAGCAAUCCUGGUGGCGAGUGGCGAACGGGUGAGUAAUAUAUCGGAACGUGCCCAGUCGUGGGGGAUAACGCAGCGAAAGCUGUGCUAAUACCACAUACGAUCUACGGAUGAAAGCGGGGGAUCGCAAGACCUCGCGCGAUUGGAGCGGCCGAUAUCAGAUUAGCUAGUUGGUGGGGUAAAAGCCCACCAAGGCGACGAUCUGUAGCUGGUCUGAGAGGACGACCAGCCACACUGGAACUGAGACAAGGUCCAGACUCCGACGGGAGGCAGCAGUGGGGAAUUUUGGACAAUGGGCGCAAGCCUGAUCCAGCAAUGCCGCGUGCAGGAUGAAGGCCUUCGGGUUGUAAACUGCUUUUGUACGGAACGAAACGGCUCUUUCUAAUAAAGAGGGCUAAUGACGGUACCGUAAGAAUAAGCACCGGCUAACUACGUGCCAGCAGCCGCAGUAA